This is a long non-coding RNA of Syngnathoides biaculeatus (alligator pipefish), 1235 nucleotides long. RefSeq lists it as uncharacterized. The record is from RefSeq and is a predicted model, not a curated record. NCBI's taxonomy places the organism in Eukaryota, Metazoa, Chordata, Actinopteri, Syngnathiformes, Syngnathidae. The transcript is spliced from 4 exons.
GACAUCCUUUGAUUGGUCCCCUUACGGUUCCCUUGAGAGCACGACGGAUACACUUGGCGAGGACUUGAAGACGACACGUUGGGGAGGUCCGACUGCUGUGCGGAGGCGGCCGCGCUGAGUGUGGCGAGACAGAAAAUGGAAGGUUGGGCAGGCCGCGAUAACGACGACGCGGUGCGUUCAGGCGACCGGGCGUCACCGCUGGGACGGGAAUGACAGACGGUUGGCUUUGCCGUGGAGCCUAAUGAGCAGCUCUGCUUUAGCAGCUCCCAGGGGUCUGGCCGAGUGAAAGAUGCCAGCAGCCGGAGUCUUGUUGGCCGGCGCCAUUCCCAGCUGCAUUGGCUCAGCCUACAAAAAAUGUUCCGCUCUUUAUCUGGCAGCCUCAUGUCUGGUCCGAAACGUCGCGCUCUACAUCGCCUUCCUUGUCUGUCUGCCAGGGUUGACAUCACCCAUCAGCCCCCCCCCCACCCCCUCCCACCAUCCCCACCUCUUUGAAUCAUGGAAUUGAACAAGGUCUGGAGGAGGAAAAAAAAUAACAUGGAUCUGUUAAAACACAUUCACUGCCAUUGACGGCUAUGAAAGUCAAAUAGCCGCGUUAGCAUGGAAGGCUAGCAGUAAACUAAAAGCUUUGGUGUAGGUGUAGUUUGUUGGCCUGCUACCAUGUUGUCAUGCUUAAAGAUUUAUUGCCAUGGACAGGAAAAUGCUCCUGGAGGCCUAUCAUUCCUAAAACGAUUCCAAGACUCAAAUCUGCAAAAAAAUAUAUACGCCCAUAAUAAAUCUUAAAAGAGUUUGCUGACAUAUUGCCAAAAAGGAGUUUCCAAGUGGAUCCAUUCAUUAACUAAGCCCGAAGCAAUUGCUCAUUUUUUUUUUCCUCACAGGAGGAAGUCACUCCCUUAUGAAAACUAGCAAUAAACAGUUUCUUAUCUCCAAAAUCCGAUGACGACACCCCCAAGAAAGGGCAGACAAAUCUCAGGAUAGGCACGUAUAGGUCAAGUUUUCAGGGGAUCCCUGUUUGAGUACAAAAAAAAAAAAAAUCACAAGUAGGUGAGUAGGUACUAGUUCCGAGGUCCCUCCACAUCCUGACCACCAGCACUUCCAGCUACUUCCCUCGUGAACAAUACAAACGGAAACCAGCAGACAUUCCAAUAGCUUCUUCCCUCUCGCAAUUAACUUAAACAGCUAACUUACAAUUACACUCUUAUUAUUAUUUUAUUGAUUGUUGUAUUUAUUAAUUUCAU